Molecule: long non-coding RNA, 1593 nt
Organism: Canis lupus familiaris (dog)
Lineage: Eukaryota; Metazoa; Chordata; Mammalia; Carnivora; Canidae
Exons: 6
Source: RefSeq, a predicted model, not a curated record
GUUUUGCAAACAUGGUAACACUAUUACCUCUUUGCUCCUCAAAUGCAAAGGGCACUCCAGCGGGUAAAUGGACAGUAAUGACAACUACCUCUGCACCACAAAGAUUCCAGAUUGUUCCCUCUUUGAGCAAUGGUUACCGGGGUCUUUGAGAAUGACUUAUGUGUGCUAAUUGGAUUAAAGAUGUGUUGACUCAAGCGAUGUUUGAAAAGGCUUCUGGUGAAUUCUGGACUGCCUUUGAAUAGUUCAUCCCUCAUCACAAACACCUGGAGGCAGGAAGGCAUCAGGAAUUGGCUGCACCAGAGAAUGGCUUUUCUUCCCCAGGGUGAAUGCUGGACCCACUCUGCAAAGGAGGCCAGACAAGCUCUCACAAAUAAGGUGAAAGGCACCUCAAAUCAGCUCAAGUAAGACUAGGAUGACAGGUUCCUCAGCCUGGUGGAUCUGCUGACACAGACUACUGAUUUGGGACUCAGCAGGGACACCUUGUUUCACAAGGACCCUUCAUGCCCUCUCUGUAGCUCCUCAGUAAAUCCAGUCCAAGGUUUCUACAGAGGAAAUCCAUUUCCUGCUUUCACUUGCUCUCCACACCCCCUUAAAUGGGUGAUCCAGAAGAUGCAGAGGCCAGAGAGCCAAGGACACUUUGUUCUGAUGCCUCCUACAAACUGCACCUUCAUGUAAUACUCAUCAGUCACUCUGCCUUUGAACUCCUGUCUGGAGGCAAGCAUGAGCUCACUGAACCCAUCUCAUAUGCCUGAGGCGUCCCAGUGGACAGGACUCAAGAUGAGCCACAAGGGCCUCAUCGGAUCCCAGAGAGACACUCCUAGAUUCUUUGACUUGACCAGCAUGGAUUUCAAGCUCUUCUAUCGCAGCAGCCCCUCCAUAGUCGGUCGCUGGCGCAGUAGGCCAGCCGUUCUCGGGUGCUCCAGAUGCCCCGGGCUCUAGCCCUCACCUUUGCUCCCUUAGAUGCGACGUGGGCCCCCUUUCUCCACAUCUCUGCAGGAAACACUUUCCAAAGCUCCCAAGAGGCCCUCCAGAAGUCUCUCAAGGACCAGGUUAAAAGUGAAGGAGGGUGUGAUUCUUCCAUCCCCAAAGCACAAGUAACAGUUGUCUUCUUCACAAAGGCCCUUCCUCUCCACACCCUGACCUCUUUUGAUAACCUUGCUCUGGCUGAGGGUCCCAGAGCUGCAGGAGCAGAACCUGGAAGCGUCCCCUAAAGCUCCUGUCUGUGGGGUUUUGCCUCUGGCUCACUUUCAUAUCUGACAACACUGUACUGACAGCUGAAACUGAGGGGGAAAUGUUCCAUUCCAGCCAAUUGCUUGCUAGCUAGACAAUAAUGAAUUUUUAAGAAUCAUAAUUAGUGCAUUAAAAAAAAUCUCAGCCAUCAUUUUACCAAGUCCAAUGAUUUGUGUGUGUUGUGAUUUUUGUUUUUUUUGUUUUGUUUUGUUUUUCUUGUUUGUUUGUUUUACCAAGUCCAAGGGUAUGUAUGUAUGUAUGUAUGUAUGUAUUUAUUUAUUUAUUUAUUUAUUUUCCAAUGGUAUUUAAAUAGAUCCUGGCUUCUUCAACUAAGUCCUGUGAAUAUGCUGACAAUCAGUGUAA